This 253-nucleotide ribosomal RNA is filed under the name uncultured bacterium. RNAcentral's name for it is "partial 16S ribosomal RNA". It matches the Rfam family "Bacterial small subunit ribosomal RNA", at positions 524 to 776 of the family's 1533-position model. The record is from RNAcentral.
UACGUAGGGACCGAGCGUUGUCCGGAAUCAUUGGGCGUAAAGAGCGUGUAGGCGGCCCGGUAAGUCCGCUGUAAAAGUCAAAGGCUCAACCUUUGAAUGUCAGUGGAUACUGCCGGGCUAGAGUCCGGAAGAGGCGAGUGGAACUCCUGGUGUAGCGGUGGAAUGCGCAGAUAUCAGGAAGAACACCAACGGCGAAGGCAGCUCGCUAGGACGGUACUGACGCUGAGACGCGAAAGCGUGGGGAGCGAACAGG